Molecule: long non-coding RNA, 511 nt
Organism: Camellia sinensis
Lineage: Eukaryota; Viridiplantae; Streptophyta; Magnoliopsida; Ericales; Theaceae
Source: RefSeq, a predicted model, not a curated record
AUUUAAGGGCAAAUAACUCAUCAUUUUUUUUAUCACUUUAUUUAAUUGCUUGGUUUUGCAUUUAUAUAUAGGAUAAAUCAGCAGAUGUUCGUAAAGCAGCUGAAGUAUGCAUUGGUGAAAUUUUCAGAGUCUGUGGUCCUGAUGCAGUGACCAAGAAUUUGAAAGAUAUUCAAGGACCUGCCUUAGCUAUUGUUCUUGAACGACUGAAGCACUCUGGGGCUUUUCAAGAAACAUUUGAAGUGGCUAAAACAAUAUUGAUGGGGCCAUCAUUGAAAAGUGGAUCAAAAGUUCACGAACCAGACGAGCACCUUUCCCAACAUAUUUCUUAACAAGUUCACGAAGCUAAAUUGUACAAGACUACUUGGCAGUAUGAGCAUUUUUGGGAGGAUUAAAUAUUUUUGGAUGGAUGUGUAUGGAUAACAAAUAUUAGUAGUUUUAUUUGUUGAUAGCUGCGCAUGGAUAACAAAUAGUUAUGUUUCAAAUUGUUAUGCUAGAUGGAUGUGACUUGUGA